This 4266-nucleotide long non-coding RNA is filed under the name Homo sapiens (human). RNAcentral describes it as "non-protein coding lnc-NBPF11-1:39". Lineage: Eukaryota; Metazoa; Chordata; Mammalia; Primates; Hominidae. The record is from RNAcentral.
AUCGGUCACCACAAAAUUCAAAAAGACAAGGUCUUUGUCUGUUGCUCAGGAUGGAGUGUAGUGGUGCCAUAGCACACUGUAAUCUUGAAUUUCUGGACUACUGGCAUACACCACCAUGCUUAGGUUCGGGCCACAACAUCCGUGACUUUACCGGUUUUGGUCUCUUCCUUGUAACUUUCGGCUCCAGGAUGCUGCGCAGCUCCUCUCUGCACUAUCUAUCAGAACGUUGCUCUGCGUGCUUGAAAGUUUCGCCAAACAGAAGUACACAAAAACAAACAGAGGCGAAACACAAAUCCCCUCAGCCCUGGAGGAAAAGGCCUUGAAGCUCUUCCAGUGCAGAGGCCACGCAGAGGACAUGCUCCUACCUGUGCACAUCGGCCACGCCUGGGGUGCCUCCUGGAGUCCAGGCUGCUGGCGAUGGAAUCCAUCAUGUUGCUGAUGUCACUACUCUCAACUCCUGAUGGCAUCAGAACACAGGCAGCAUCAAGAUCAGGCUCAAGAUGCAGGAUUUUAUCAUCCAAAUCAGGCCCACAUAUGGAUGAAACCCUUCAGGUAUUCUGCACAUCUCUCAGGAAACCCAGAUGAAAUUGAGUGCCUGCUGCCCACAUCAGCAACCCAGACAUCCCACUUGAUUCUGCUUCUGGAGCCUAAGAUGGGAAAAUGGCAGGUGUCGCAGGUUGCAGGGGAAGGUCGGAGACCAGUUGAGGGCCCCGGAGUCUGUCUGGAAAGAGUUUUCCAUCCAGCCCGUCUCGGUUUCCGCAUCCGUGUGAGUCCUUUAUGACGUCGGGAAUGCCAAGGUCUGAGUCCUUUAUGAUGUUCAGGGUGCCCCGGUCUCACCCCGGGAGCCUCCUCGCUCCGGCCUGCUCCUGGCUACCCGGUGGGCGGCUCUGGCCCCAGCGACCCGCUACUGUUUCUCCAUGCGCUGCCACUUCGCAAAGGCACAUCUCUAGGUCAGUGGUCAGCUGCAGCCAGGGCGCUGCAACUCGCUCCAGGACUCGGGAAUCAGGGCCUUGGUGGGCCUCGCAGAGUGCUGGGUGUGUCGCCUGCGGGCUCCUCUUUUGGAGAAAGGAGGGAGGGAAAGGCCUUGUGAGACGACUCCAGGAGCGACCAGCGACCCCCACAAGGCCCAAGUCCUCCCAGCGCACUCAGAAACAGUCACUUAAAUGGCAAUAAGGUUGAGAAAGACUCUCCCGUGCCCCCGUGCUGGUGUAGUGGCUGUGAUUCAGUCCUUUCACCACCGCAUCCCGGGUUCGAUUACCGGUCAGGGAGUUGUUUUGCACUGACUGCCCACCCGCAGUAAUCUUUCUUUACUCCGCUGUCAGCCGGCCUGCUCCAAGAGCCAGAGGCAGAAGAGUCUCCCUGCAAGGUGCAAACCCUGGCGAAGGAGGGCAAGUCCUGGUGGACGGCCUCUCAUGACACACCCUCUUAUUUAUCUCCGUGUCCACCAUUCGCAGAAGGGGCUUUAGAGAGCGACUGAGCGUCUCGCUCAGGUGUACACCACCGUGCAGAGAUGGCAGCUCUCCUGGAGGUGUACCCAAGAAGCCCACCAUCUUUGCCGCCUCCGCCAUCCCAGAGGCGCCGAUUGGGCUGAGCUGCAAAUAACUAAGAGAGAGAGAGGCCAAGCCAAGUCGUGGCGUUUGUGUGCGGCACACGUCGUCAGCUGACACAGGCGGUCAGCUGAGCCUCCUCACCUCAGUUCGCAGCUAACAUGCUUCUUAGGCCUUCGGAAGAGGCGACAGGAGGCGAUGGCCGCGAGGUUGGGAGGGGGGUGAGCGGCGGGUGAGGUCCUCCAGGACCGCCCAUUUAUUGACUGGGUGGUACAGGAGGGCGAUGUUCGCUUACCCAACAACGACAGCAGGUGGAGUAGGCACUAAUGGAAAACUGUGGCCGGUGCCCUAAGCAGAAGGCAGGUGUAAAAAUCACUAGGACAUCAAAGGGAUAGUACCACAGUCAAAUCCCGCAAUGUCUGUCUACACUCUACCAAGCAAUUGUGCACCCUCCCCCUUUUCCAUUCAGUACUCCCAAGAAGGGUUGGGACGAACCCUGUGUCCACUGUAAAGCUCAGGGGAGAGCGGGAGCGAGGGAGGUGAAGUGCACAGACUGGGCAGAGGCGGCGGGCAGAACUGCGGGGGUGAGAGGGCGCGGUGGCUGCGGGGCGGGAGCCUCUGCUGAAAGGAGGCCUGGGUUGUCCUGUGGGUGACUGUUGGUGGAAUCUUUGGCAGCGAGUGGUUGGAAGAAUGGCGACGGGCGAGCAGAGGGGAAGGUGGUGACCCUGAGCGUCUGGCUAGGGGAGAGGAGGCUGUACUGACACUCGUCUCCUCUUACCUGGCGAGGGACAGACCGUGGUCAAGAAGGGAGCUCUCCCUGGUUGAGGCUAGUCCACCACACUCCAGCUGCUCUGACCCCUGCGAUUUCCCUACACGCGGGGCGCUUGUCUGCGGUGGUGUUUGCGCUACCCGGGGGCUGGGUUCACGCAGGCUCCUGACAGUCCUUGGCUCACCGCCCCCGACGCGGAUAUCGCCGCUAGAGACCCUUCCGCCACCCUCCUAGGGAUCUUGAGGGCCUUCCUUGUUGUUCCGACUGAAGCUCACGAACAGACAGAUGUGAGCUCUCUGUCUUUUACACGUUGAAUUUGGCUAUUGGCAAAAAAAGCCCUGACCCAGAGCUUGGGACUCCUCCCGGCCUGCACACGACUUCCCGACUCUUGCCUCCUAGCGCGGCUCUUGGCUAGCGGGCGGGCAGCCUCCACCCAGCGUAGAACCGCGGCAGCCGCAGCCCCCGCAGGCUGGCGGUCAGACACUAGCAGGAAAAGGGACACAAGGCCUGCGUGGUGGGAAAGCAUGGGAGACGUCGCUUUCCCACCAGGCGAGAAGGUCUCCCUACAGUCUUUGGACAGAAGAUGGAGGGAGGCACCCCUUCCAGGAGCAAGGCGGCUGCUCCUGAGGCCUGGCUCCGCACGGAGGCUCCUGGGUCCCGCGCGCCCUCUCCCUACCGGUUAUAGCCAGAGCUGCUUCACACAUCUCAGCCGGCUUCCUCUUCCGCCUCUGCCACCUCUUCCUCCCCAGCUCGUGGGAAAGACCUAGCCUCCUCUCCAACACUUGGAGAGGGAGUUGGAUGAACGUCUCCUAACCCCAGUAGGACAGAGAUCCUGAGGUAGGAGGGGACCCCUUGCCUUGCUGCUUCUUUUGGCACCGCUGACCCGGGCCCAGGACUCCUCGCUCCUCCUGGAAGGCCUGGGUCGUGUAGCCCACAGAGGUGGCCACGUGGGCAUCUCCCCCACUGCUCCUCAUAGAACCGGAGGCAUUAUCCUGCCGGGCCCACUCUUACCCAUGAAAGAAACUUGGGAAAUGCUCCCGGGGAAGCCGGGGAUCUGGGCGCUCGACCACUUCGGUGUGAAUCUUCCGUCCGCUCAUCCUUCCUUCGGAGGGUCUUGGGGAGAGGAGAAAUGCUCAAGGACGAUGCGCUUUGCAGCGUCUCAAGGGAAACUAGAUCUCAACGGAUACCAGAAGUCUGGAGCGUCUUCCUGGAGGAAGGCGGCCCGAGGCCUGCGGUUGCAGGGAGGCUUGCGGAGCACAGCGCCCUCUCUCAGCCUGAGCUAUCCAGUGGCUUCCAGCAUCCCAGCUGGCCGACUCCACUUCCUCUCUCUUCCUCCUACUGCGGGUCUUCUUCUUCUCUUUGGGGACCGAAUCUCGCUCUGUCGCCCAGGCUGGAGUGCAGUGGCGCGAUCUCGGCUUACUGCAACCUCCGCCUCCCGGGUUGAAGCGAUUCUCCUGCCUCAGCCUCCCGAAUAGCUGGGACUACAGGCGCGUGCCACCACGCCCGGCUAAUUUUUUGUAUUUUUAGUUGAGACGGGGUUUCACCCUGUUAGCCAGGAUGGUCUCGAUCUCCUGGCCUCUUGAUCCGCCCGCCUCGGCCUCCCAAAGUGCUGGGAUUACAGGCGUGAGCCUCCGCGCCCGGCCUACUGCGGCUCUUCUAUCCUGGUGUUCUUUGAAUGCCUAUCUUCCUUUUGUGCCACAGAACCUCUCACGCCCGCCACAGGUUGCUCAUUUCCUUGGUUGUUCUGAACUUUAAAUAAGUUAAUGUAUGUAAGAGUGCCAUAAAUGCUCAGUAAUUGACAUCUGUUAUUUUCAUCAGUAACAUCAUCUGAAUCAUCUGUAUUGUCUAUUUUUAACAACUGCAUUUUUCAUUGUCCAAAUAAAGUCACAUACAUUUGAACAUUAUAUAAUGAUUGAAUAAUAAAAUUAUUCUGCUAUUUUACAAUAAAAA